CAGCUAGAGAGCGGAGGAUCAUGGAGCGCUCUUCUUCUUCCAUGGCACACGGUGUUGCCCUCCUGGCGCUCAUCUGCUGUUGGUUAGCAUGCUCGGCGGCGGCCCAAGUUGUUCCGGACGGACGCCGUGAGCCAAGGGCUCCGCCGUCGCCACUGCCUGGGAACCAGAACCCGGUGGAGGCUCCAGCUGAGAUUGCGUCGCCACCACCGCCUAUGGACACAACCGCGCUUGCGCCGCACCGCAAGACCCUGCAGCAGGCUGUUUCGAGCGUUCAUCAUGUAUGAAGCACUGUCGCUCCGAUAUGUUCUUGUCUAUGCAUGUACGGUUCUUGGUGAUGAGGAUUGUUUGCUGUGUUGGCGACUGAAACCAUUAAUAACAGACAAAAAAAUCGAACAGCCCAAGAAGUUCGGUGAGGCAGUCCAACUUGUAAAAUUUUCUUUGUACACAUUGAAUAGCUAAAGGAUCAAAUUCGUUUA
This is a long non-coding RNA of Triticum aestivum (bread wheat), 476 nucleotides long. RefSeq lists it as uncharacterized. The record is from RefSeq and is a predicted model, not a curated record. The transcript has 2 exons. Lineage: Eukaryota; Viridiplantae; Streptophyta; Magnoliopsida; Poales; Poaceae.